This 613-nucleotide ribosomal RNA is filed under the name bacterium. Its description in RNAcentral is "bacterial SSU rRNA". It matches the Rfam family "Bacterial small subunit ribosomal RNA", at positions 157 to 774 of the family's 1533-position model. The record is from RNAcentral.
CGAGGUCUAAUACCGGAUACGACCAACUCUUGCAUGAGAUGUUGGUGGAAAGUUUUUUCGGUGGGGGAUGUGCUCGCGGCCUAUCAGCUUGUUGGUGGGGUAAUGGCCUACCAAGGCUUCGACGGGUAGCCGGCCUGAGAGGGUGACCGGCCACACUGGGACUGAGACACGGCCCAGACUCCUACGGGAGGCAGCAGUGGGGAAUAUUGGACAAUGGGCGGAAGCCUGAUCCAGCAACGCCGCGUGAGGGAUGACGGCCUUCGGGUUGUAAACCUCUUUCAGCGGGGACGAAGCGCAAGUGACGGUACCCGCAGAAGAAGCACCGGCCAACUACGUGCCAGCAGCCGCGGUAAUACGUAGGGUGCGAGCGUUGUCCGGAAUUAUUGGGCGUAAAGGGCUCGUAGGCGGUUUGUCGCGUCGGGAGUGAAAACACCGGGCUUAACUCGGUGCUUGCUUUCGAUACGGGCAGACUAGAGGUAUUCAGGGGAGAACGGAAUUCCUGGUGUAGCGGUGAAAAUGCGNAGAUAUCAGGAGGAACACCGGGUGGNGAAGGCGGGUUCUCUGGGGAAUAUCCCUGACGGCUGAGGGAGCGAAAGGUGUGGGGGAGCGAAAC